Long non-coding RNA from Gasterosteus aculeatus aculeatus (three-spined stickleback), 1516 nucleotides. NCBI's taxonomy places the organism in Eukaryota, Metazoa, Chordata, Actinopteri, Perciformes, Gasterosteidae. The record is from Ensembl.
CAUCCAACACCUACGGGGAUAAGCGUUCAAGAUUUAGACAGAGGAUUUACACAGGAAAGGAAGGACAAAGACAGAAAUUCUCCCAAAACAGAAAACAAUACAAUGGAUUUUUCCAAAAAAAUGCGUUUUUGGAAGAAGCUUGCCGCCAACCAAACGGUUGCUCCAGGGCCAAGUAAUCUGCAGAACGCAGAUAAGACAGAUAUGACAGCGGCUCAACAAACCAUUACGAGUCAAGCGUCAGAGAUCUCAAGUCUGAAAGAGAGUCUUCAAGAUGUCAAAAAGAUGUUUGAAGAUCGUGAAGCAGAAGUGCAGCUUCUGGUAAGUAGGGCGAUCGAGUCAAACAACCUUGAACUUGCGGACCACUUCUCAGAGAAGGCGGCCAAACUCCAACAGAUCCAGACAAACUCUACACAAGAGUACGAGAUUCUCCUGGCAGAACACCAAAACGUGGUUUUUGCCCUCCAUGCUGAGCAGGCCAAGACAACGCAGCUGGAGGAACAUAAGAACGUUCUGGAACAGAAAAGAAUGUUCUUGGAACAGAAAAUUGAGGUUCUGGAGGAGGGAAAGAAGGUUCUAGAUGAGGAAGGGAUUGUCCUGGGGGAGAAAAAAAUGGCCCUGGAACAGGAAAAUAUGCUCUUGGGGCAGAAAAAUAUCACCCUGGGCCAGGAAAACAUGCUCUUGGGGCAGAAAAAUAUCGCUCUGGCCCAGGAAAAUAUGCUCUUGGGGCAGAAAAAUAUCGCCCUGGGCCAGGACAAUAUGCUCCUGGGGCAAGAAAAGUUGGCUCUCCAGGACGAAAAGAUGGUCCUUGGGCAGGAAAAGGAAGUCCUGGAGAAGGAAAAGAUGGUUCUUGGCCAGGAAAAUGUCAUCCUCGAGGAUAUUUGCCUCGAGCUGAGGAAAAGAAUUCUAGGAUUCUUUGGACGGAAGAUGGAGGACAGAGCCACAGAGAUGGCAAAGCUGAAGAGGAAGAUGGCAGAUCAGGAAAGGAGGAGAGGAUUUUUCCAUCGCCUCUUCAGGAGAAACUCCAACAACAGUUCUCAGCAAGUGACUCUGCUUCGGUUUGGAGAGGCCUCAAACACCUCACCAACUACAAGCCAAAAACCCCCCACUCCAUGAAUGACCUCCGCCUGGCAGACGAGCUCAAUGAGUUCUACUGCAGAUUUGAAAGACAAUGUCCUGAUCCCAUCCCCCACAGCUCCACCAACCUGCUGCAGUCCCCCUCCCCUCCCUCCCCCAGCCCAUCAGGUGCUCACGCCUCUUCAUCAUUAUCACCUUCCCCUCCCCCACCAGCAACGACCCUCUCUAUUCUGGAGAGAGACGUUAACCGGCUCUUUAGAAGACUAAAUCCCCGUAAGGCAGCCGGUCCGGACUCCGUUUCCCCUCACUCCCUGAAGCAUUGUGCUGACCAGCUGUCUCCGGUGUUCACGGACAUCUUCAACACCUCCCUGGAGACAUGCCACGUACCAGCCUGCUUCAAGGCCUCCACCAUCAUCCCUGUCCCCAAGAAGCCCAGGAUCAC